GUUAUGUAAUGAUUAUUAUUGUGUGUUGUUGUCGUAGUUGCAAAGGUCAAGCCAUUUUUCUAGUUAAAGGGAAAUCAGAAGUGCUUGUCCUCACCCGAGAGCUCUUCCAACAGAGACAGGAGCUGAUGCGUGGGGCUGCCACUCUCCGCUCUCCUGUCACUUUGGGCUGAGCCGGGAAGGCUGCAAACUGGUUGACUUCUCUUCUUUUUUUUUAAAUCCCACCAUCGAGGAACAAAGUGGAGAAGGCAGAAGCCCCUCAAAUUGAGGUUUUUGAAAGUUAUCUUCCAUGGCAGGAAUAAACAGAAACUUUUUUUCCUAAGGGCAGUUUUUAUUUUUUUUUAUUAUUUUUUUUUAUUUUGAGAGAGUACAAACUACAGGAGAAGAGGGAAAUUUUCUCAUUAAAGUUACAUCCCUGCAGUUAGUUCAAUUACUUGAUAUAUGCAGAAGAUGUUGUAAAUUUAAAGAUUUAAAUAGCUUACAAAGAUGCCGGAGGCUCCAUCAGUUAAUUUCCUUAAUUUAUGGAUUUUUAGCUGAGCUUCUGAAAUGAAAAGGAGAAUGAGAACUAGGUCAGCUGAGAGAUUUGCAUCCAGUACAGACUCAGAUUUGUUUUGCCUUGACCAUCCUACCAGCCCAGAUCAAAGCAAAGACACAAUAGCAGUUGAGGAUGAAAAAGACAAGCAUAUUGAUUGCAGGCAACUUGUUCGGCAUUGUUUUUAUGGUAUCUAGAAAAGGACAAUGUUCUUGAGAGGAUGUUUUUGCCUAUAUGAAUGUAGAAGAUAUUAAAGAUCUUUAACUGUGGAUUGAAAUGGACAGAACCAUUUUGCAUUUCAUCUGGUUCCAUCUUGUUAUCCCAUAGUUUAAAUUUGAUUUUGUUUGUGUCUCUGCUGCCUGUCAUGAGAGUCAAGCCAGAAGAAAAGAGAUGUCUGCAAUAUAUUUUUAGGACGGCUCUGAUCGAGAAACAGGAAACACAGUGAAUACAGCAGCAAGUCAGGCCAUAAGUUAAGAUAUAAAUGGGAGAGUGUCGUUCAUGUGGCUGGGACUGGCUGAGGGCCACACUUAACAGGGUGUACAUAGAACAUAUGUGGCAGUUCUUUUAAACCUAAGAGCUUCAUUAUGAGUGACACUUCUCCCUGUUCAUGGCUCGGUGGCCAUUGUAUCAUAAAGGUACUUUUGUCUGAGGGAAAAAAGAACUGAGCGAAAAAUGCUUCCGAAGUAAUUUCUGGACCCAAGCAACCUUUGCAGCGUUUAUAAGUGGGGUAGAAUUGGAAAAUUCUCUCUGGAAAAAUGAGGUUACACAGACAAGUCCAUAAGAAACAAGACCAAGAUGCAGCAGGUCUUGUAGCCACCCCUCAUAUUUAACAAUAGAGAAUGAGAUUAACCCAGAGGAUGUGAAGAACUGGUGAGAUGAGUUUCAGACUGGAAAUGUUCUGGCCAUGUGGAGAAGCAAUUAUUUGGGUCAGAAACCUCAAAAGAUAAAAUAAGUUGCACAGCCCAACACUUCUUGGUUCUGUCAGCUGACCUACAUGAAAAAAUAAACAUUGAACUAGGGAAGUUUACCAGGGCAGACAAGGACAUGGAGUGGGCUUAAAACCAACUGUAGUGGUAGUCAGACCAUAAUGAGAAGUUCAUCCUGCUGUUUCCCAGUCAGACUGGCAUCAUAGUUUGCCACUGGUUGGGAGAGGAUGAAUGUCAUGGGAGUGACCUGAAGAAGAAGACAUUCCAGGCGAAAGUUUGUCUAAGUCUACCCCAACCCAAGUCUAUUCCAUAUAGUUGGUCCAAUAAAACAUAUCAUCUGCAAAACACCUUGUCUCAUGGGAGCAUUAGUUAUGACUGCACAAAUGAGGAAUUUUGAUGAUUACAGAAUCUGUAAAUUGUGUCCUUCUCUCUCCUUAAGUAUUCUGCAGUUUUCUUUAUCAGACAGUCUGACUGCUAUAUGAAUUACAAGACAUUAUUCUAUUGAAGUGCCUAAAUAUAGUUGGAUUUUUAAAAAUUUCCCAUUAUCCGACUCCCUGUUCACAGCUCCAAACACUUGACAAUACCUGUAUUAUAUAUUGGAAAUAAUCUUCAGGAUAAACUGCAGCAUCCAUUAGCUUAAACACACUUAGAUUAGGCAAGAAAUACAUUAUAGAAAGUAUUUUAUUCUCAUUUUCUGUUCCUGACUGUUAACAACAAAAAUAGCACCAAAAAAUACUAUUUAAUUAAUCAGUACAUGCAAUAUUUUUUCAAUACAGUAUUGUCCAGAUUUUUUUUUUACAUUGCCAUUCUGUAAGGUUCUCUCACAUCUUUUUAAACAGCCAAUUUUAAGGAGGAUUUCUUAAUGUACAUUUGUAACUUGCAUCAUAUUAGCCUUUUGCUACUUGUUAAAUAAAGAUUAGCCAUAUUAUAUAUGUCACAGAUGAGAAAGCACUUGCAUGAAUUAAUUGAAUCCAUUCGUUGGUUUAUUACAGACACAAAGUAGCCCAAAGAGUGUCACAAAUCCACAUGGUGUCCCUGAGUGCUUGAUUUUGCAUACGGAUCGCUGACUUAGCUGAACGAUGUAUAAAAUCCUGUGUACUCAGACGACUCCCUGUUGAAUACACAUCUAAGGAAGGUUCUUUUUUCCAGCUAAGGUCUGGAAUACUCAAAAAUGUUUCUGAAUGGUAGGAUACAAUGAACUGAUGAAAAGGGAUACAAACUUAAUUUUGCUUCUAAUCUUAAUCUAUUUAAAGGAUCUCUGGGCACAAACAUAUCAGGAAAUAUUUCUAAUGCAUCUGUCUUGGUAAUCAUCCUCUUCACCAUCUAAAUAAUCAUCCUCUUCAUCCACUUCAUCAUCUCUUCUAUAAGUAAAUAUAUUGAUUAAGGGCUUUUCUGGCCUUGGGACCUGUAUGGAAGCUCAGAGAUCUGUUGAGAUUCCAUAACAGAAAAAUAUAUGAACAAAUAUAUGACAAAAUGGGAAUAUGGUUUUUCAAAAUUCAGAGUCUUUCAUUGAUGCAGGCAAAGAGAAGAGGAGCAAUGAUGUUGGUUGUGGAAACUGAAGAGGAGUUUUAGGCCCUAGUAUUAAUUUUGGAUGAGAUCAGUUCUAAUGUAAAUGAUUUGCAAGUUGCUGUAAUCCCUUUUGACAAUAAACUAUAGACAGAUACAUUCUCUUGAGACAGACAAUACAUGGUGAAUUCUCAGCUAUUAAAGCAGAGGUGAAUUUAAUGGGUUCUGAGGAGAAAGUUAAACAUGUCUAUGUUGCAAAACACAUGAAUGACAGAAAAUAAAAUUCUCAACUGGAGCUGAGAAAUGCUCAAAAACUAAA
Alligator mississippiensis (American alligator) is the source of this 3280-nucleotide long non-coding RNA. RefSeq lists it as uncharacterized. Lineage: Eukaryota; Metazoa; Chordata; Crocodylia; Alligatoridae. The record is from RefSeq and is a predicted model, not a curated record. The transcript has 4 exons.